CACCUGGACCUGGACCUGGACCCUCACCUGGACCUGGACCUGGACCCUCACCUGGACCUGGACCUGGACCCUCACCUGGACCUGGACCCUCACCUGGACCCGGACCUGGACUCGGACCUGCCUGACGCUCUCAGAGCAGCAGUGACGUCAACACAGAUUGAUCACCACGAGGAUUGAGGGAUACCAGUGUCACCACCAGGCAGGCAAUUACCUGUUGACUGUCUGAGAGAGGACAUGUGUAUCUACUGACUGCACACACACUUCAUGUAGAGCAGGUAUGAGUCAGUGUGUGUGUGUUUGGUUCCUUUGGUUUGAGUCAUUGGCAGCAGCAGCUCGAGGACGUUUGCACAGCAGUGACUGGAGUGCAAGUGAGUGCCUGCGAUGUGGUCCCCAUUCGGUUCAUUAGGUAUACAGACCUGACAGAGCAAACUCAUUCAGGAUGGAUCAGCUUAACCAGCGGACACACAGACACACACACAUAAACACACACACACACACACACACACACACACAUACACCUGCCAUGACUAUUACAUUUUAUUAAUAUUUUUGUAAUUUUUGCUGUCGAGAGCUUUUCUAAUGAGAAACAAGUACUUUGAAUCUGAAUGCUGAGGCUAUUUGUCAAGGCUUGGGUCUGGUUGCAAAGGGCAGUUUGCAUGUGCAGGUACCUUUAAAGUCGCAUAUCCCACUGUCUUGGAUGCAGAGGUUAUUUUAGGAUUUAUGUUUUGAAAUUUGUAAUUAAACAAAUACAUGUCAA
Long non-coding RNA from Scophthalmus maximus (turbot), 757 nucleotides. RefSeq lists it as uncharacterized. The record is from RefSeq and is a predicted model, not a curated record. NCBI's taxonomy places the organism in Eukaryota, Metazoa, Chordata, Actinopteri, Pleuronectiformes, Scophthalmidae. The transcript is spliced from 2 exons.